RNAcentral lists this ribosomal RNA (467 nucleotides) under uncultured bacterium. RNAcentral describes it as "partial 16S ribosomal RNA". It matches the Rfam family "Bacterial small subunit ribosomal RNA", at positions 29 to 507 of the family's 1533-position model. The record is from RNAcentral.
ACGAACGCUGGCGGCGUGCUUAACACCUGCAAGUCGAACGGAAAGGCCCUGCUUUUGUGGGGUGCUCGAGUGGCGAACGGGUGAGUAACACGUGAGUAACCUGCCCUUGACUUUGGGAUAACUUCAGGAAACUGGGGCUAAUACCGGAUAGGAGCUCCUGCUGCAUGGUGGGGGUUGGAAAGUUUCGGCGGUUGGGGAUGGACUCGCGGCUUAUCAGCUUGUUGGUGGGGUAGUGGCUUACCAAGGCUUUGACGGGUAGCCGGCCUGAGAGGGUGACCGGCCACAUUGGGACUGAGAUACGGCCCAGACUCCUACGGGAGGCAGCAGUGGGGAAUAUUGCACAAUGGGCGGAAGCCUGAUGCAGCAACGCCGCGUGCGGGAUGACGGCCUUCGGGUUGUAAACCGCUUUCGCCUGUGACGAAGCGUGGGUGACGGUAAUGGGUAAAGAAGCACCGGCUAACUACGUG